RNAcentral lists this long non-coding RNA (565 nucleotides) under Fragaria vesca (wild strawberry). RNAcentral describes it as "long non-coding RNA (FVES_LNC002575)". Lineage: Eukaryota; Viridiplantae; Streptophyta; Magnoliopsida; Rosales; Rosaceae. The record is from RNAcentral.
UAAGGAGGAGGAGGUGAAGGAGAUGAUGGAGGGGGAGACUUGUAGACAUAUGGAGGUGGUGGUGACGGGGAAGGUGGAGGUGGGGACUUGUAGUGAUAUGGAGGUGGAGGUGAGGGUGAGGGUGGUGGUGGUGACUUAUAAAUGUAGGGUGGAGGAGGUGAUGGGGAAGGAGGAGGCGGGGACUUGUAGACGUAUGGAGGUGGUGGUGAUGGAGAUGGAGGAGGUGGAGGCUUCUAAAUGUAAGGAGGAAAAGGUGAUGGAGAUGGUGAUGGAGAUGGUGUUGGAGAUGGUGUUAGAGACGGUGAUGGAGAGGGUGAUGGAGAUGGUGUUGGAGAUGGUGAUGGAGAUGGUGGAGAUGGUGUUGGAGUUGGUGAUGGAGAUGGUGUUGGAGAUGGUGAUGGAGAUGGUGGAGAUGGUGUUGGAGAUGGUGAUGGAGAUGGUGUUGGAGAUGGUGAUGGAGAUGGUGGUGGUGGUGACUUGUAAGGAGGUGGAGGUGAGGGUGAGGGUGGCGGGGGAGACUUGUAGUGAUACGGAGGAUGUAUCACAUGCUUGGGUGGUGGCGGAG